ANGGUGCAAGCGUUAAUCGGAAUUACUGGGCGUAAAGCGUGCGCAGGCGGUUAUGCAAGACAGAGGUGAAAUCCCCGGGCUCAACCUGGGAACUGCCUUUGUGACUGCAUGGCUAGAGUACGGUAGAGGGGGAUGGAAUUCCGCGUGUAGUAGUGAAAUGCGUAGAUAUGCGGAGGAACACCGAUGGCGAAGGCAAUCCCCUGGACCUGUACUGACGCUCAUGCACGAAAGCGUGGGGAGCAAAUAGGAUUAGAUACCCUGGUAGUCAAGGGCG
RNAcentral lists this ribosomal RNA (274 nucleotides) under uncultured Burkholderiales bacterium. RNAcentral's name for it is "partial 16S ribosomal RNA". It matches the Rfam family "Bacterial small subunit ribosomal RNA", at positions 529 to 802 of the family's 1533-position model. Lineage: Bacteria; Pseudomonadati; Pseudomonadota; Betaproteobacteria; Burkholderiales. The record is from RNAcentral.